UUGGACCUGAUAUCAGGCAAGAUUACCCGCUGAACUUAAGCAUAUCAAUAAGCGGAGGAAAAGAAACUAACAAGGAUUC
This 79-nucleotide ribosomal RNA is filed under the name Phytophthora plurivora. RNAcentral describes it as "partial 28S ribosomal RNA". It matches the Rfam family "Eukaryotic large subunit ribosomal RNA", at positions 1 to 77 of the family's 3401-position model. Lineage: Eukaryota; Oomycota; Peronosporomycetes; Peronosporales; Peronosporaceae. The record is from RNAcentral.